This 460-nucleotide ribosomal RNA is filed under the name uncultured bacterium. Its description in RNAcentral is "partial 16S ribosomal RNA". It matches the Rfam family "Bacterial small subunit ribosomal RNA", at positions 338 to 795 of the family's 1533-position model. The record is from RNAcentral.
CCUACGGGGGGCAGCAGUGAGGAAUAUUGGUCAAUGGACGAGAGUCUGAACCAGCCAAGUAGCGUGAAGGAUGACUGCCCUAUGGGUUGUAAACUUCUUUUAUAUGGGAAUAAAACGUUCCACGUGUGGGAUUUUGUAUGUACCAUAUGAAUAAGGAUCGGCCAAAUCCGUGCCAGCAGCCGCGGUAAUACGGAGGAUCCGAGCGUUAUCCGGAUUUAUUGGGUUUAAAGGGAGCGUAGGUGGAUUGUUAAGUCAGUUGUGAAAGUUUGCGGCUCAACCGUAAAAUUGCAGUUGAAACUGGCAGUCUUGAGUACAGUAGAGGUGGGCGGAAUGCGUGGUGUAGCGGUGAAAUGCUUAGAUAUCACGAAGAACUCCGAUUGCGAAGGCAGUUCACUGGACUGCAACUGACACUGAGGCUCGAAAGUGUGGGUAUCAAACAGGAUUAGAUACCCCUGUAGUC